This 764-nucleotide long non-coding RNA is filed under the name Callithrix jacchus (white-tufted-ear marmoset). RNAcentral's name for it is "lncRNA (ENSCJAG00000069602.1)". Lineage: Eukaryota; Metazoa; Chordata; Mammalia; Primates; Cebidae. The record is from RNAcentral.
AGCCCAGACUAGGUCACUGACACACAGGAACAGGAGUAAACAUUUCCCAAGCUCAAUGUUCAGGGGCCUUGGCCCAGAGCUGAGUGGAUGGAGGAUAGGAUGUGCCCCUGCCCCUGAGAUCCAACCCCCACCCCGAGUGCUGCUGGGUGGCUACUGGUAGCAAUUACAGUAUUAGCUUCUGGUACCAAUUAUGAUGCCCCAUAACUGCUUAUUUUUCUGAAGCACGACUUGGAGCAACCUAGAUGGGGGCACCCUGCUGUGCAUAAAUGGGAAGACAAGUACCCCAGAUGAUCCUCCGGGCAGAUGCCACCUAAGGGAGCCCAAUCUUUGCAGAGCCCAGCCAAUCUUUGCAGAUGCCCACGAUGCUGACUGAAAGGACUUUUGAGGAUGCUUCAGAAAACAUUUCAGGAGUGGGCUGUCAAUCACACCCACACUCUAUGAAUAUGAGAAGAACAGACUGUGGCAAAGGAGAAGCUAAGAUGGGCCAGUGAGUUUCUCAACCACACGCCCACACUCCUCUCCAGAAGUCAGCAGCCUCCUGUCCAGUGCAGGAGAGUCCACCGUCCUCCACACCAUCCUAUGGAAAGGCAGGCCACAUACGUAGCUUGGAAUUGUCCUGUGGACACACUUUUCAAAAAGAAAAAAAACAUGAAAUAAAUUUCAAUAAUACAGUCUGUUUAACCCAAUAUGUCUAGAAUAUUGUAAUUUUUCAUUGCUUCAGACAAAUAAUAAAAUAGUAUCAUUUCAUUUUGAUCAAUAUAAAA